Molecule: small nucleolar RNA, 80 nt
Filed under: Plenodomus lingam JN3
Lineage: Eukaryota; Fungi; Ascomycota; Dothideomycetes; Pleosporales; Leptosphaeriaceae
Source: RNAcentral
UGAAGAGACCUUUGAUGACGAGUCUAACGGGUUCGCCCGGGUGACGAGACAAACCAAAUUAUACCAUUCAUGCCAACUGA